Molecule: ribosomal RNA, 301 nt
Filed under: uncultured bacterium
Lineage: Bacteria
Description: partial 16S ribosomal RNA
Rfam family: Bacterial small subunit ribosomal RNA
Source: RNAcentral
CAGUAGCCGCGGUAAUACGUAGGGGGCAAGCGUUGUCCGGAAUCAUUGGGCGUAAAGCGCGUGUAGGCGGCUCGAUAAGUCUGCUGUGAAAGUCCAGGGCUCAACCCUGGAAUGCCGGUGGAAACUGUCGAGCUUGAGUCCGGAAGAGGCAAGUGGAAUUCCUGGUGUAGCGGUGAAAUGCGCAGAUAUCAGGAGGAACACCAAUGGCGAAGGCAGCUUGCUGGGACGGUACUGACGCUGAGACGCGAAAGCGUGGGGAGCAAACAGGAUUAGAUACCCCCGUAGUCCCUGUCUCUUAUAC